This 446-nucleotide ribosomal RNA is filed under the name Arctic sea ice bacterium AWS-6M4. RNAcentral's name for it is "bacterial SSU rRNA". It matches the Rfam family "Bacterial small subunit ribosomal RNA", at positions 396 to 834 of the family's 1533-position model. The record is from RNAcentral. Lineage: Bacteria; Pseudomonadati; Pseudomonadota; Gammaproteobacteria.
GCCGCGUGUGUGAAGAAGGCCUUCGGGUUGUAAAGCACUUUCAGUUGUGAGGAAAGCUUGGUGGUUAAUACCCAUCAGGUAUGACGUUAGCAACAGAAGAAGGACCGGCUAACUCCGUGCCAGCAGCCGCGGUAAUACGGAGGGUCCGAGCGUUAAUCGGAAUUACUGGGCGUAAAGCGCACGCAGGCGGUUUGUUAAGCUAGAUGUGAAAGCCCCGGGCUCAACCUGGGAAUAGCAUUUAGAACUGGCAGACUAGAGUCUUGGAGAGGGGAGUGGAAUUUCUGGUGUAGCGGUGAAAUGCGUAGAUAUCAGAAGGAACAUCAGUGGCGAAGGCGACUCCCUGGCCAAAGACUGACGCUCAUGUGCGAAAGUGUGGGUAGCGAACAGGAUUAGAUACCCUGGUAGUCCACACCGUAAACGCUGUCUACUAGCUGUUUGUGGAUUUA